Molecule: ribosomal RNA, 521 nt
Filed under: uncultured Enterococcus sp.
Lineage: Bacteria; Bacillati; Bacillota; Bacilli; Lactobacillales; Enterococcaceae
Description: bacterial SSU rRNA
Rfam family: Bacterial small subunit ribosomal RNA
Source: RNAcentral
GUGCCAGCCGCUGCGGUAAUACGUAGGUGGCAAGCGUUGUCCGGAUUUAUUGGGCGUAAAGCGAGCGCAGGCGGUUUCUUAAGUCUGAUGUGAAAGCCCCCGGCUCAACCGGGGAGGGUCAUUGGAAACUGGGAGACUUGAGUGCAGAAGAGGAGAGUGGAAUUCCAUGUGUAGCGGUGAAAUGCGUAGAUAUAUGGAGGACACCAGUGGCGAAGGCGGCUCUCUGGUCUGUAACUGACGCUGAGGCUCGAAAGCGUGGGGAGCGAACAGGAUUAGAUACCCUGGUAGUCCACGCCGUAAACGAUGAGUGCUAAGUGUUGAGGUUUCGCCUUCAGUGCUGCAGCAAACGCAUUAAGCACUCCGCCUGGGGAGUACGACCGCAAGGUUGAAACUCAAAGGAAUUGACGGGGCCCGCACAAGCGGUGGAGCAUGUGGUUUAAUUCGAAGCAACGCGAAGAACUUACCAGGUCUUGACAUCCUUUAGACCACUCUAGAGAUAGAGCUUCCCUUCGGGGCAAAGU